Molecule: ribosomal RNA, 407 nt
Filed under: uncultured bacterium
Lineage: Bacteria
Description: partial 16S ribosomal RNA
Rfam family: Bacterial small subunit ribosomal RNA
Source: RNAcentral
AUUGAACGCUAGCGGGAUGCCUUACACAUGCAAGUCGAACGGAGUAGCGAACGGGUGCGUAAGGUAUCGGAACGUGACCAGUAGCGGGGGAUAACUACGCGAAAGCGUAGCUAAUACCGCAUACUAUUGCAGCUGCCGAUAGCGGAUUAGGUAGUUGGGGGGGUAACGGCUCACCAAGGCGACGAUCCCUAGCUGGUCUGAGAGGACGACCAGCCACACUGGGACUGAGACACGGCCCAGACUCCUACGGGAGGCAGCAGUGGGGAAUAUUGGACAAUGGGGGAAAGCCUGAUGCAGCCAUCCCGCGUGUGUGAUGAAGGCCUUCGGGUUGUAAAGCACUUUUGGCAGGAAGGCGGUACCCGCAGAAGAAGCACCGGCUAACUACGUGCCAGCCGCCGCGGUAAUAC